Molecule: long non-coding RNA, 1006 nt
Filed under: Felis catus (domestic cat)
Lineage: Eukaryota; Metazoa; Chordata; Mammalia; Carnivora; Felidae
Description: lncRNA (ENSFCAG00000051002.1)
Source: RNAcentral
AAAAACAUUCAUUCCUAAAGGCAGCCUUCUUGGGGGAGGGGAGAUUGAAGAUUACGAGCAAGUGAAAUUAAGUUUCUGUAAAACAUGCAGUUUAAACAUGGACCAGAAAUGAGCGAAUGUUCAAUGAAAAGACAACCAUCAGAAUCAGCAGCACUCUUUUCUCAUUUCACUGAGGAAUAUGUAGAUGCAUAGGAGACUGUGGAAUCCAAGCGCGAGUCUGAAUAUUGUUGAGUAGGCAUUUUGUUUUGUUUUGUUUUGUUUUUGGUUUGAAGCCGGGAUCGAAGGCAAUAUGACUUUUCUCCUUGGGUUCAAGAUGGUGCUCUCACUUACCUGCACAGUGGAGCCAGAGGCGGACACGGAUUUCACUCAAUACCACCAAAAGAUCAUUAAGAGGAGAACCUAAGACAACCAAGGGACCACUCAUCCAACAAGCUUUAUUGGAGAUGUAUAUAUAAGACACUAUGCAAAGUUUGUGGAGGGUAAGUUUUAUAUUUUGUCAUUUAUUAAAAUGUAUUAACUAAAGUUAGUGCUGAAAACUGUUAAGUAAUUGCUUUCUCUCUCUGAUGCUAAAUGUAAAAUCUGUUACAGUCUCUAUAUAAAUUUUCCAAGGAAUUAAAAAAGGAAAACAUUUGAAGUUACAGAACAUUCCAAAGAGUGGAAGACAGCUUGCUUGGAUUUUCUCUAGAACUUGAAAAAUCUUAUUAUUACAUGUGGGAAAAUACAUGUGGGAAUAGUAUGACAGGGUUUCCCUAUGUUCAUUACUUAGACAAAAUACACGUCUUUGUAUAAAAUAUGUUCCUUUCCUAUUCUCCCAGGUGUUCACACAAUUUCUAUGCUCCCAGUUGAAAAUCUUUCAACUUGUCUCCAUCAUUCUGGAUAAGGGUUCUUAUUUCCUAAUCUAGUUCUUUGGUAUAAUUUUACUAGCAUUCAUUACGUGAAGAGAAGUUAUUACUGCUUUCCUUUCUGUGACAUCAUCUUUCCUCCAAGUUGGCCUCUCCAAGCCAAC